GUUUAACAAUCAUUAGCAAUUGAGACCCUAUUUUUCACCUAUCUCAACCAAGUGUAUCAGUACCACCACCGCGACGUCACCAAGGUGGCCCAAACCUUCGAAACGAAAUUUCGCGGCGCACAUUAAGAACAAGCGAUGGCGAGAACGACACACCAAUAAUCGACAAUCGAUAUUGGGACGAAGAAAAUAAAACUCAUCGGUUUUGUGCAGAGACGGAGGUGAAGACGAGUUCGUGCGUUGCGUUGAGACGGCGAUGAAGCCUCCGGAUUGGUGCGCGUGCUAAGCGUUGUGAAGAUUUGCCUUCGUGCGUUCGCCGCUGAUUCGAGAUGAAGAGGUCGGAAUCUGAUUUCUUGAAGCUUUUCGGUGGAUCUCGAUAAAAGGAAACCUUUUCCAAAUCGUGAGUUCCUUCUGAUUUUCUUGCCCUAUCGCUAUGCUUCCAUUACGCGUUUCUUUCUACUUCUUACUUCUUCCUCAACUCGGUUGCCUUGUGGUCACUGCGUAGAGUGUUGUGAUGGAUUUGCAGAGGGUUCUAGCUCAGCCAAUCGAAACUUCCGCGUGGAGCUUUGAUGUCAAUAAUUGCGUCUUAUGGUUGUAGUGGUUCUAGGCUCGGAGAUGACACGCAGUGGGAUGGUGGAAACAGAUUGCAGAGGAGAUGAAGAUUGAAGGAGCGAUGAAGAUGAAGAGCAAAGGUGAAGAAUGAAGAUCUUUUUUCAACCCUGCAGUGAGAUGAAGGCAAGUGACUUUCAAGUCAUGCAUUGAGUGAAGAGAUAAAAAUGGGAGGGCAAAUUUUGGGGUACGACACUUAACAAAAAUGUCGUUAAGAAGUAUAGUAAGGGAACUCAAAUAAAUGAGGGAUGGGAUUGGUAACACGUCGAGGCGAAGUGCGAGAAGUAGGCUUUCACAGUGUCAGACUAAGUCACAUGUUGUUCCUGAUAUCACUCUAACAUCACUUGAACCUAUUCAGCAGGGACAAUGGCCAAAUAUACCAUCUGAAUUGCUUCUUGAUAUAAUUCUGAGGGAAGAAAAGACCGAGACUUCUUGGCAUGCACGUGUUGUUGUUUCCUGUGCUUUCGUGUGUAAAUCAUAGAGGAUCAUUGCAAAAGAGAUUUCCCAGACUCCUUAGCAGUGUGGAAGGUUGACAUUUCCUAUUUCAUUAAAGCAUGUGAUUAAGUAUCCACUCCUUUGUUGUUGCAUUCACUUUUUGCUUUUCCAUUUAAGUUGUUUUGCGUCUUAUGUUCUCUACUUUUUGUGUAUAAAUAGUCGGGUCCUCGUGAUUCUCCAAUUUAGUGUUUUAUCAGGAGGGACUGUGAAACUUCUACAUAUCUAUUGUACUAUAGAUUAGUGUCAUGUAAGUUUUUGCUUCAUUGCUGAUGAUGUUGCAGUACUCAAUUUCUUUAAUUCUUUUUAGGGUUUUUGAUGGUUUGGGCAUUAGGUUGGAUUUUUUUAUAUGGAUAUGUGUAGGGAUUUGUUAAUGAGGAUUUUGAGUUUUGGCGAAGGUUUGUGAAAGAUAUGGUUGAGGUGAAAUUAGAGGAGUAUUGUUUGUGGAGAGUUAGCUUCAAGGACAUUUAGCUAUCGAGAUUGAGUUUACAAGGUCACAAAUCGUUGUUGCAGUCCCUGGCAAUUUUAUUUUUUUUGCACCUGGUCUUGCUUUUUGUAUUCAGGUUUGUCAAUUUACAUAUACGUAUGUCUGCCUGUAAUAGUCUCUAUAUAGAUGACAACCAAUUAACAAUAAUAACUUGAUUGUGUACAUGGAAAAUAAUUUUAUACAGAAAUAUGGUAUAUAAUUUGUUUAAAAAAAUUGAAAGCACCAUAUAAGGUUUAAUGGUGAUAGGUUUCCCUGUCACAACCAUUUUUUAUGUGAAUUCAAUUGAUCCAAUAA
Molecule: long non-coding RNA, 1879 nt
Organism: Lathyrus oleraceus (garden pea)
Lineage: Eukaryota; Viridiplantae; Streptophyta; Magnoliopsida; Fabales; Fabaceae
Exons: 3
Source: RefSeq, a predicted model, not a curated record